UAACACAUGCAAGUCGAACGGAAACGAAACUAGCUUGCUAGUAGGCGUCGAGUGGCGGACGGGUGAGUAACGCGUAGGAAUCUGCCUGAUAGUGGGGGAUGGCCCGAAGAAAUUCGGAUUAAUACCGCAUAAUCUAUUCGUAGUAAAGUGGGGGACUUUCGAGCCUCACGCUAUCAGAUGAGCCUGCGUAAGAUUAGCUUGUUGGUAGGGUAAAAGCCUACCAAGGCAACGAUCUUUAGCUGGUCUGAGAGGAUGAUCAGCCACAUCGGGACUGAGACACGGCCCGAACUCCUACGGGAGGCAGCAGUGGGGAAUAUUGGACAAUGGGGGUAACCCUGAUCCAGCAAUACCGCGUGUGUGAAGAAGGCCUGAGGGUUGUAAAGCACUUUCAAUUGUGAAGAAAAGUUAACGGUUAAUAACCGUUGACCUUGACGUUAACUUUAGAAGAAGCACCGGCUAACUCCGUGCCAGCAGCCGCGGUAAUACGGAGGGUGCAAGCGUUAAUCGGAAUUACUGGGCGUAAAGCGUGCGUAGGCGGUUUAUUAAGUCAGAUGUGAAAGCCCCGGGCUUAACCUGGGAACUGCAUUUGAAACUGGUCAACUAGAGUAUGGUAGAGGAAAGUGGAAUUUCUGGUGUAGCGGUGAAAUGCGUAGAUAUCAGAAGGAACAUCAAUGGCGAAGGCAGCUUUCUGGACCAAUACUGACGCUGAGGUACGAAAGCGUGGGUAGCAAACAGGAUUAGAUACCCUGGUAGUCCACGCCGUAAACGAUGAUAACUAGCCGUUGGGGGGAUUUACCCCUUAGUGGCGAAGCUAACGCGUUAAGUUAUCCGCCUGGGGAGUACGGCCGCAAGGCUAAAACUCAAAGGAAUUGACGGGGACCCGCACAAGCGGUGGAGCAUGUGGUUUAAUUCGAUGCAACGCGAAGAACCUUACCUGGUCUUGACAUCCUGCGAACUUUCUAGAAAUAGAUUGGUGCCUUCGGGAACGCAGUGACAGGUGCUGCAUGGCUGUCGUCAGCUCGUGUCGUGAGAUGUUGGGUUAAGUCCCGUAACGAGCGCAACCCCUAUCCUUAUUUGCCAGCACAUUAUGGUGGGAACUAUAAGGAGACUGCCGGUGAUAAACCGGAGGAAGGCGGGGACGACGUCAAGUCAUCAUGGCCCUUACGACCAGGGCUACACACGUGCUACAAUGGGAAGGACAAAGAGCCGCGAAGCCGCGAGGUGUAGCUAAUCUCAUAAAUCUUUUCGUAGUCCGGAUUGGAGUCUGCAACUCGACUCCAUGAAGUCGGAAUCGCUAGUAAUCGUAGAUCAGAAUGCUACGGUGAAUACGUUCCCGGGUCUUGUACACACCGCCCGUCAUACCAUGGGAGUGGGUUGCACCAGAAGUGGCUAGUCUAACUUUGUGAGGACGGUCACCACGGUGUGAUUCAUGACUGGGGUA
This 1441-nucleotide ribosomal RNA is filed under the name uncultured bacterium. RNAcentral describes it as "bacterial SSU rRNA". It matches the Rfam family "Bacterial small subunit ribosomal RNA". The record is from RNAcentral.